Molecule: non-coding RNA, 20 nt
Filed under: Mus musculus (house mouse)
Lineage: Eukaryota; Metazoa; Chordata; Mammalia; Rodentia; Muridae
Source: RNAcentral
AGUACGCCUGGGUCUUAGAC